Cornus florida is the source of this 3074-nucleotide RNA transcript. It is a transcript of the gene named pentatricopeptide repeat-containing protein At2g30780, with no coding region annotated. The transcript is spliced from 3 exons. Lineage: Eukaryota; Viridiplantae; Streptophyta; Magnoliopsida; Cornales; Cornaceae. The record is from RefSeq and is a predicted model, not a curated record.
AGCAUCCAGUCUUUGGGAAGACGGGAGAAUUCUAGGGUUUACUUAAUGCGCGUGCCAGCCCACUUAAGCCCACCAAAGUGUGCAGCCCAUUGCCCGCAACCCAGACCCAAAAUCCAAUUACAAUCCCUAAUCCUCAGAUCUCUCUCGUUCUCCAAUCUCUCGCAUGUCGUCUACCAUGGACGACCACCAUUUCUAAACUCACUGUCUCUCUCUCUCUCUCUCACACGCACGUACGCACGCACGCGGGAAUCAUUCUUAUGUGAAAGUGCCUCACAUCGCAGCAAUUUAGAUAUGUGAGAGUUUUAGCAUUUUUGUUCAAGCCUACACACUUGGAUUCGUUGCCUAUGAUACCCAAUUUGGAUUCCCCUACCUCAGCUGUUCUCGAGUCUCUCACAUGCCACACAAUCCCUAAAAUUCUCGACCAAAAAAUUCAAUCUCUCUCUCACAUACCAGGAACACUUCCCCAUCCUGUCUUUCUCUCUCUAAAAAAUCUUUCCAUCGUCUUCCAUAUUCAAUCUUGAUCAGAUAAACCCUUCAAAAACCCUUCAUAGGAUGUAUCGUACGGUUGAUAUCAGACAAUGAAACGGGUGUGGAAGAUAUCAGAUGCAGCUCAAGCGGAGCUUCUCCUCUAUCGAUGCUCCGCAAAACCCAAAAGCCUAACAGCCCCUAUCGCGAGCCUCUCAAGAAUUUCGACCCAAAGAUUCACCCGAGAAGUGUUCGCUCGAACGCGUUCGUGCACGGCCACGUUCCCAAACAUCAACGGGUUGUUCUCGGAUAAGUGGAACUACGCAGACAUCAUAGCAGCGAGAGAAGAUCUCAGCAGGAAGGUAUCGCAUUUGAGAGACGAAUUGAUACAAGUUGUUGAUGACAGUGACAUGAUUUUCAGACUUCUGGAAGAGAAGGGGACUUCUUUGUUCAGAUGUUACUCUGAUGGGUCUGCUUUGGUUGAGCUAUUGAAGCAGUUGCGUUCUUGGCCUGAACUAUCCUUAGAGAUCUUUAAUUGGAGGAGACAUGCAGAUUUUAGCAUUCCUAUGACAUCAGAGGAGUAUGCUAAGGGUAUUACUAUUGCUGGUAGAUUGAGGAAUAUUGAUCUUGCUGAUGAACUUUUUACAGAGGCUGCUAACAAGCGAAUUAAAACAACAUCGACCUAUAAUGCACUCAUGGGUGCUUAUAUGUUCAGUGGCUUUGCUGAGAAGUGUCAGUCAUUGUUUCGAGAUUUAAAGAGGGAAGCAAAUUGUAGCCCUACAGUUGUAACAUAUAACAUCCUUUUAUCCGUAUUUGGUCGGUUGAUGUUGGUAGAUCACAUGGAGGCAACUUUUAAGGAGAUAAAGGAUUUAAAUCUCUCUCCUAAUUUAAGUACUUAUAAUAAUCUAAUUGCAGGAUAUGUUACAGCCUGGAUGUGGGAUCGUAUGGAGAAUACUUUUAGGAUUAUGAAAGCAGGCGAUGUCAAGCCUGAUAUUAAUACCCAUUUGCUCAUGCUGCGAGGGUAUGCACAUUCUUGUAAUUUGGAAAAGAUGGAAGAGACUUAUGAGCUGGUUAAACAUUAUGUAAAUCGUGAAGAAACUCCAUUGGUCAGAGCUAUGAUAUGUGCAUACUGCAAGAGUUCUGACAGAAGUAGGGUAAAAAAGAUUGAGGAAUUAAUGACAGUAAUUCCAGAAAAUGAGUACAGGCCUUGGUUGAAUGUGCUAUUGAUUAGAGUUUAUGCAGAAGAGGAUAUGGUCGAGGAGAUGGAGAAUUUAAUAAAUGAGGCAUUUGAGCAUAAAACCUCUGUAACAACUGUGCGUAUGAUGCGUUGUAUCAUUUCGAGCUAUUUCCGAAGCAAUGCAGUGGACCGGCUUGUGUCUUUUGUUAAGUUUGCGGAGUCUGCUGGAUGGAGGAUCUGUCGGUCUCUUUACCACUGUAAGAUGGUCAUGUUAGCUUCUGAGAACCGCCUUGCAGAAAUGGAGGGGGUCAUUGAUGAAAUGGAUAAAUUCAAUUUGGUUUGUACAAAAAAGACACUUGUAAUAAUGUAUAAUGCCUAUCUGAGAUGUGGUCAAAGAUGUAAAGUUGAGAAGGUGUUGGGAUUGAUGUGCAAACGUGGGUAUGGAAUUCCAUUGGAUGCAUCUCCUUCAUAGUGAAUUUUCAAUCUGACAGCCUUUGUGGCAAAACAGCUCCAGAGCAUUCAACUAAUGAUUGUGAAUGGUUCAUUGCAGCUGUAAGAUGAAUUACAGAUUUCAUAUAAUUCAUAGACAUGGCUAUAUGUUGCUGAUGAACUAUGGCUACCAAUGUGCCGAAUGCUUGUGGGAAACUAAAAUGAAAUCCACCAAGGUCAUGAAGGUGGUAUCUCUUUUUGCAUGAAUUGUUAGAAAAGUUUUGUAGAAUUACAAGGCAGAUGGAAUCAACAGCUGUGUUUCAAGAGUUAAAGAAGAUCUAGGAAUAUGAAUAACAUUUGUAAGAGUUACAUCGACGUUUUCUGGCUGUCAAGUACAAAAAUCCGUUCUCGAAGGACCAGAGUGGUUGUGCAGAUCACAUCUGAAACAAGAGCAAGGAUUACCUGCAAGCCACUUGUUUGUAGAUUGAUUCAUCAAUGCUCUUUUCUAGAUGUUGCUCUGUAGAAUACUUCAGCUGGGAAUUCUUCUUUUUGUUGGACCAGAGUGGUUGUUCAGAUCACAUCUGAAACAAGAGCAAGGAUUACCUGCAAGCCACUUGUUUGUAGAUUGAUUCAUCAAUGCUCUUUUCUAGAUGUUGCUCUGUAGAAUACUUCAGCUGGGAAUUCUUCUUUUUGUCGCCAAUUUAUAUUCAACAUUUUUUUUUGGGAAAUUUCUGUUCCCAAGAAAGAAUUUCAGGAGUGACAAGAACCAUCAGAUGCAACAAAAAUGGUGGAAAUAUAAGGAGUGAGUUGGUAUGUGGCUGUCUUCUCUUUCUUCUUCUAGGUUAAUUGAGAGUCUCUGUUUUGCUUCUCUCAAUCUCUCACAAUUUUUUUAAGGCUGGGUCCGCAUCAUACUUAAUUAUUCCUGCAGCAUUGUUGCUUUCAGUUGAAAAUCAGAAUUGUAAAAUGCAAUAUAAUGGAAUUUGUAACGUUAUUUUUGAAGUUA